Molecule: RNA transcript, 2348 nt
Organism: Aquila chrysaetos chrysaetos
Lineage: Eukaryota; Metazoa; Chordata; Aves; Accipitriformes; Accipitridae
Gene: DDX25
Gene name: DEAD-box helicase 25
Exons: 12
Source: RefSeq, a predicted model, not a curated record
UGGGGACCGGGCCGGGCCUUCCCCCGCUCCCCGGGGCCUCCUCCCGUCCCCUUCCCGCCGUAACGGCCGCCUCUCCUUCCGCAGCUCCCCGGGCUGUACCUCCCGCCGCGCCGCCGGGCAGGCGGCGGCGAUGAGGAGGAGGAGGAGGACAGAGCGGGCUCGGCGGAAACCUCCCUGCUGAACAAGCUGAUCCGCACGUCCCUGGUGGAGUCUAGCCACCGAGUGGAGAUCCUGCAGCAGGACCCUAGCUCCCCGCUCUUCUCCGUCAAAACCUUCGAAGAGCUGCCCCUGAAGAAGGAGCUCUUGCAGGGGAUUUACAUGAUGGGCUUCAACAGACCGUCCAAAAUCCAGGAGACGGCUCUGCCCAUCAUGCUGGCGUAUCCGCCCCAAAAUCUGAUUGCCCAGAGCCAGUCAGGGACAGGGAAAACGGCAGCUUUUGUCUUGGCGAUGUUGAGCAGAGUUAAUGCCGCUGAGAAAUACCCGCAGUGCCUCUGCUUGGCUCCCACCUAUGAGCUGGCCCUGCAGAUCGGGCACGUGAUCGAGAAGAUUGGGCGGUUUUGCGCCGACAUCACGGUUAUGUACGCUGUCCGGGGAAACCGAGCAGAAACACGUUGUGUUUGGAGGCGCUUGGAUGCAAUUCCCCCUCUGGCAGUUCUGCAGGGCACCACGCUGCAGGAGCAGAUCGUCAUCGGGACCCCGGGGACGAUGCUGGACUGGUGUUUCAAACGGAGAGUCGUGGACUUGAAGAAGAUCAACAUGUUCGUGCUGGAUGAGGCUGACAUCAUGAUUGACACUCAGGGCCUCUCCUGUCAAAGCAUUCGCAUUCAGAGGGCUUUACCCAAGGGCUGCCAGAUGCUGCUGUUCUCGGCCACCUUCAAGGAAACUGUGCGGGCGUUCGCCAUGCAAAUCGUUUCCAACCCCAUCAUGAUAAAGCUGCGCGAAGAAGAGCUCACCCUGAGCAACAUCAGGCAGUACUUCUUCGUGUGCAGGAGCUGGGAGGAGAAGUACAGAGCCCUCUGCAACAUCUACGGCAGCAUCACCAUCGGCCAGGCUAUGAUCUUCUGCCAGACUCGGAGGAGCGCAGACUGGCUGUCGGUGGAGAUGAGCCAGGACGGGCAUCAGGUGGCCAUCCUGACGGCGGAGCUGACAGUAGCCCAACGGGCCGAUGUCAUCCAGCGCUUUCGUGACGGGAAGGAGAAGGUCCUCAUCGCCACCAACGUCUGCGCCAGAGGGAUCGACGUCCAGCAGGUCACCAUCGUGGUGAACUUCAGCCUCCCCACCAAUCAGAGGAGCGAGCCGGAUUUCGAGACCUACCUCCACCGCAUUGGGCGAACGGGACGCUUCGGCAAGAGGGGAGUCGCCUUCAGCAUGGUGGAAAGCCAGAAUGUGGGGCUCGUGCAGAUGAUAGAGGAGCAUUUCCCAGAAGCAUUGGGCAACUGUGAUGAGCUGGAGGUGGGCGAGUCCCGACCACGGCCACGGCCACGGCCAGAAUUAGCCAAAGGAGCCCAGUGUGGGAUUUCCAAGGGCUGAAAAUCUGAGCGGAUGAACUCCCAGCGACCUGACUUUUCCUUUUUAACGCCAUGACGUUGCAAUUCGAGGGCCGGGGCUGCCUGAGGAGGAUAAUGGACCUUCCCCCUCCCGCAUCGCUUUGGAGAGACCAAGAUCAAGCAGCUGGACCCAGACGACAUGGAUGAGCUUGAGAAGCUUGAAAACUGAGUGAGGAGUGGGGAUUUGCUCCCCCAGAUAUGAGUUUUGGUUCAAAACGGAAGGAAAAGUUACAGGGGAAAAGCUCCCAGUUCUCUUACAGCUUCCUAAAGCUGUUUGGUUUUGUUGUGACGUUUUAGGAAGAAGGCUGGGGGGGAACCCUCAGACCCAGCGGUUGUUGUCCCUGGUUUUGUUCCUCGUUAUCUCUCUGAGGUUUUCACAGCCAUGACUUUGCGGGGCUUGAGGAAUCCCCCGAGGGGCUUAACGCAGGGUAACACUCCUCAAAAACAGGUCUAGGGGCACGCGGAGGGGUCAGAAAACAGGUAAAAAAAUCCGGUAACUGGCCAAAAAAAUCCGCUGCUCAUCUCCAGGCAGUGUGCAGUGUUUCUCAGAAAAACCUUUAAUAAAAAAAAAUCAGGAGAAAGGAGUGAGUUAUAAGAACCCAGUCUCGCUAGAUGGCAGCAUGAAUCUCCCAAAUCCCGCCGGGACCCAGAAUGCCAGCAUUUGGGGUCACGGCAGUGGUGGUGGGAGAGGGGUUGGACCCCCGUCGGUGACUGUCGCCAGCCCCGGGGUGUGUUUGUCCUCAAAGGGUUUGUCCCUUCGCUGUCGCCAAGCUGAUCUCUCACAAAAUAGAAUAAUUCUGA